This 404-nucleotide ribosomal RNA is filed under the name Bacillota bacterium. RNAcentral's name for it is "Firmicutes bacterium partial 16S ribosomal RNA". It matches the Rfam family "Bacterial small subunit ribosomal RNA", at positions 355 to 776 of the family's 1533-position model. The record is from RNAcentral. Lineage: Bacteria; Bacillati; Bacillota.
UGGGGAAUAUUGGACAAUGGGCGCAAGCCUGAUCCAGCCAUGCCGCGUGAGUGAUGAAGGCCCUAGGGUUGUAAAGCUCUUUCAACGGUGAAGAUAAUGACGGUAACCGUAGAAGAAGCCCCGGCUAACUUCGUGCCAGCAGCCGCGGUAAUACGAAGGGGGCUAGCGUUGUUCGGAAUUACUGGGCGUAAAGCGCACGUAGGCGGAUUGUUAAGUGAGGGGUGAAAUCCCAGGGCUCAACCCUGGAACUGCCUUUCAUACUGGCGAUCUUGAGUUCGAGAGAGGUGAGUGGAAUUCCGAGUGUAGAGGUGAAAUUCGUAGAUAUUCGGAGGAACACCAGUGGCGAAGGCGGCUCACUGGCUCGAUACUGACGCUGAGGUGCGAAAGCGUGGGGAGCAAACAGG